Molecule: RNA transcript, 7899 nt
Organism: Elaeis guineensis (African oil palm)
Lineage: Eukaryota; Viridiplantae; Streptophyta; Magnoliopsida; Arecales; Arecaceae
Gene name: mitochondrial phosphate carrier protein 3, mitochondrial
Source: RefSeq, a predicted model, not a curated record
CAUCGCAAAGAAGCGGGAUCGGCUCCGAUCUUCGCCACCGGUCGCCGGACCGAAGCGAGGGCGGUGGAGCACGCCCCACGCACUCUGGCUGGACAUCGCCGCCCCCUUCAAAAACCCUAACCCUGAUCCUGGAAACGAUUGAUCUCUACCUCCUUUCCUCUUCCUCUUUCCUCUUUCUCGCCAUGCCGAUAUCCGAGAACUCUUCUCCCCAUUCUUUCCUCCCCGGCUUCCUCUUCUCCUGCUCUUCCACCCGAUCCCUCGCCCUGGAUCGCCUCCUAAGACGAAAUCGUAGCUCGCUGGCACCUCGUGCUUCUUCUCCGGUGGAUAGGCCGCCGAAUGUAGGGUCGCCGCCGGAUCCUUUCGUCGCCCGGGCCCCGAGAGAGCCCGGCAAGAUCGAGCUGUACUCGCCGCUAUACUACGCCGCCUGCACCGCUGGAGGGAUCGCCAGCUGUGGCCUCACCCACAUGGCCGUCACCCCGCUCGACCUCGUCAAAUGCAACAUGCAGAUCGACCCGUUCAAGUAUAAGAGCAUCACAUCAGGAUUUGGCGUCUUGCUGAGAGAGCAGGGGCUCAGAGGCUUAUUCAAGGGUUGGGUGCCAACCCUGCUUGGUUAUAGCGCUCAAGGUGCAUGCAAGUUUGGGUUUUAUGAGUUCUUCAAGAAGUAUUAUUCAGACAUUGCUGGGCCAGAAUAUGCAGCCAAGUAUAAGACCCUCAUCUACCUUGCGGGGUCUGCUUCUGCUGAGGUGAUUGCUGAUGUGGCUCUUUGCCCCAUGGAAGCUGUGAAGGUGCGAGUCCAGACUCAGCCAGGGUUUGCUAGGGGUUUGCUUGAUGGAUUUCCAAAGUUGGUCAAGUCUGAAGGUGCUUUAGGAUUGUACAAAGGACUGGUUCCACUUUGGGGUCGUCAGAUUCCUUAUACAAUGAUGAAAUUUGCUUCCUUUGAGACGAUUGUUGAAUUGAUCUACAAACAUGUGAUUCCCACACCAAAAGAUCAAUGUAGCAAACCGCUCCAGCUGGGAGUGAGCUUUGCAGGUGGAUACAUUGCUGGGGUCUUCUGCGCUGUUGUGUCUCAUCCAGCUGACAACCUCGUCUCUUUCCUUAACAAUGCCAAGGGAGCCACUGUUGGUGAUGCUAUCAAAAAGCUUGGGUUGUGGGGUCUUUUUACUCGUGGCCUUCCUCUUCGGAUUGUCAUGAUUGGUACUCUGACUGGAGCACAAUGGGGAAUCUAUGAUGCUUUUAAAGUAUUCGUUGGCCUGCCAACGACUGGUGGAGUUGCUCCUGCUGCUCCCUCUGAGCAUUCAAAAGAAAGCUGAACAAAUUGGGCUAACGAACUGGCGGAUGGUCCAGAGAUCUUAGUGAAUAAGACAAUGGGAAGCUGGCACCAGCGGGUCACAGCUUGUGUGAUUUGUGGGCAGUGAAUUUGUAGUUUUCUUUGAUGUUGCGGUUGCUGGAGAGGCAUUGAUAAUCUGCAUCGGUCUUUAUUCAAGUCGCAGGCUGUACCAGAGGAUGAGCAUGAGGCCGUGGUAGCCUGCCAAAUUGCUCUGAAAUUUUGCUGGGUCGGGGAGAUGUAUAUUUUCUCCCUUUCCUGUUUCUCAUGUCUUCACCUAUGAGCGGGAGGGUCAGGAAGCGAAAGGCGUGUAUGGCGGUGAUGACCGGACCAGCGUCUGGGCUGCCGCUAGCAAGCCUGGGGUUCAAGGCUCGGAAGUGUUUUUGCUUUCUCCGGUGGGCAAGCUAGAGGGCCGCUUCACUGAUGCAACCUCGUGGACGUGGGCAGAUGUGCCCACCCUAGCGGUGCUGGGUGUCCUAGCUCCUCACACCGCCAGACGUUGACUGGUUCGACAAUGCUAGUGUUCGAGGAGGCUGAGCUGGUCCGUGGAAGUUUUGCCUGGCUGAUACGUUUUCUGGACGCCGCUCGUCACCGGCAUUCGUGGGAAGCUCGAGUUGAAGUGGAACUUGGAGCACGACUUCCAGUUGUUGGACGUGUUGGAAGAUGUCUGGAGCUUCUGGUUUCCAACCGGGCAGGACAUGCUCAAGGUGUGGGCUAUGGGGAUCGUGGAUGGUCACUGGCCUGGCGCUUGCGCUUGAAGCUUGGCGGUCGAACUUCGUUCACACGGCCGAUGCCAUCGAUACCGGCGUCGACUGGAGGAAUCUGUCACGUUUACCGUAAGGGCGUUGGGAUAAAGUCGUGACUAUGAACAUCGAUCGCCUAGGCGGUGGGAGUUCCCCUUCGGGUGGACUUGUCCACCGACACGAUGGUCACGGAACAGCCAACGAGGGCCAACCUUGCUCAGGCAGUGGUAUGGUGCGAGCUGCCAGAAGCAGCGUGUGGUAGCAGUUUGUAUACGACAGCGUGGGGAGGGUGUAUUCUUCGACCAUGGCCGAAGUUGUCAGGCAGAUUGUCCCGUGCCGGCAGCAAGGUUGUCAUACCCGGACAUUUUUUAAGGAGGACCAUGUGCAAUCGAAGGCCAACACCAGCGGCGGCAGUGACCCAACCAACAUCACUAGCCUGGGCCACGGUUGGUGGCAACACCUGGGUCUGCGGCGGAGCCGACUCGGCCUGACUUGUUCGGGUCCACUCGGGAGCGACUCAAGUGAGGGCACUCGGUCCCAACCGGCGGCGACACGUCAAUGACAGGCAGCAGGGUACGCGUCUAAGAUCGGCCGUCUAAGGCAGGAAACAUUUGCAUCUUUCAGUGGAUUGCAAGCUGCACGACGCACCGAAUCUGCACCCAGAUCAACCACGUGAUGAGUGGAUCUUGGAUGUGGCUUUCCUUGGACCCUCGGAGCCCGUCCACUUUUCCUACUUCUACGGUGCAUCCAGCAUCCGCUAGAAGUGGAAGAAGGGUAUGAGAGAAGAGGGCAAAGCGGGAGGAGAAGACAGUGGCCGGAGGCGGGGGAGGACUUGGUGACAUUCAGCCUAACGUCAAGCAGCUCGAAGACUCUUCCGUUUCCAAGUAAGCCCUACUGCUGCUGCUUCUUUUUCUGUCUAUUUCAAUUACAGACGUAGAAAGACGUCGUUCAUUCAUCUUCGUUUCUGAAACUUCCGCCAAUCUAUUUAGAAAACUGAGAGAAAUAAAUUUCGAUAUGAAAAACUCUCCCCAGAAAGAAAGAAAGGAUUUUGAGGGUUUGAUUUCGAUUUUUGGAUUCGUGUUACGGACACGAUGAGAAAAGUUCCAAUUUUUGUUAGCCGUAGGAAUUUGGUUUAUAUCAGCUAAGGAUCAGUCUCUCAUAAAAAAUUCAUUUUUGACCAAUAUUAGUUUAGGAUCUAUGUCUCUUACAAAGUGCGGUUUUUGACUGUCUAGUAUGAAGAUAGUUCAACAGCAAUGCGGUUUGUGGAAAAUGCUAACAUAAUACAUAAGGAUAUUACGUUAAAUUAUGGUCUGAUGCGAUAUACAGGCGACGCUAUCAUUGAGAAUCUAUAUUUGAUUACUAGUAACAUCCUUCUAGCUUUGUACUUUAUAUUUGCAAAUGGAUAUCUCGCCAAUUGCCCAGGAAACACUAGAUGAUUUCUUCACUUGGCAUGCAUGUUAAAGAUCCACAUCUAGCAAGUAGCAAGCAACUAACAUAGUUCAAACAAAGUGAGAACAAUAAUUUGCUGGCUUGCAAUCAUUUGAUAGAUUAUUGUAAGGUUACUAAGGUUGGGCAUUAAAGUGUCAACUCCAGAGAAGUUGUUAACCUUGUGUUCAUAAGACAUGGAGCAAGCAAUGAAAGUUGUGUUAAGACAAUAGCAUUUCAUAACAUUCUUCGAGGUUCUACUGGUUAAAAAUGAAGUCAUUAGCCAUUCCGUUGAGUUUGUCAUUGGUUAUAUGCUAAAGUAAAUUAUAGAGGGAAACUUCGAAAGAUCAGCGUUCCAUGAUUAGUAGAAAUAAUAAGAGAUACCAUACUAGAUUUAGAAAUAAAAAAAAGCAUUAGAGCACAUGAAAUGAAUCAUUGUUGAAAUGAAAAUCUUUAUGAACUCUCAAUCAUCAUUAGUGGGAAAGAGAUACCAUAUUGAGAUUUUUUUGAUUCUCUUGAAUUAAUUAUGCAUUAGACUUGGGAUAUGGAUAACAAAUUUAACAUUGAAUAGAUGAAGUAAAGAGGUGCUUCUAAUGUAUUAUGCGAUUGACAAAUGUUUCAAGAGAUCAAGGAAAAGUGUAAGAGGGUAAUAAGACCGCUAAGAUCAUGUGUUUUAGCAUGAUGGACCAUAAAGAAAGCUCAUGCACACAAGAUGAGCUUACUAGAUAUAAGAUUGUUGAGGUGACUUUAUGGUGGGAGAGAACAUUUACAAACAUGAUGACCUUGGUCAAUAUCCAGCAUGAUAAGUUGUAUCAGUGAUAAAAUUAUGAAGGUUACCAAGUGUAAAUUGCGGACAAUUUGAUGGAUGAUCAUUUUAUAUGGAAUGGAUGUGGAAUGACAGCAAAAGGAGUUCAGAUAUGUGCUACUAUUUCCAUAACCUAGUGACAAUGUUGGUAGUGCAUAGAUGGAAGUUGGGAAAGAGGAUCUGGAAUGUUUGUAGUGACAAUGGAUCUGGCCCUUGAUAUGAAAGUAUGACAGUGAAGGAUUGGUGAAGCAGACAAUAUAGGGUUGCAUUAGGCUUUGCAUGGGUUUUGUUUAUAGGAACAAGGCCAGUCUAAAUGUAAGAACCAUGAAAUCGGUUUAAUCCCAUUAAUGUCAAUUUAGCAAGUUUUCAUGAAUAUUUCAAUUCAGAGUUUCUUGUCUGACUUUCUCUUGACCCUUUUUUGUUAGACAUCUUUGAUAUGCUUCUGCAAUUUAAAUCUUUCAAAAAUAGUAAAGCCUAUGUUAAUAUUUUUACUUCUUCUCUUUCAUUUUGCUAAUUUAUAAUGUUUGAUUUAUUGACUCAAGACUCUGACUUUUAGUUAAAUGUCUAGAAGUGGAGUAACUGGGAUACAAAAAUUAAUGGCCACACUAUUGUUUAUGAUUCACAAAUCAUUUUUUAGAUCUCCUAUCUAUGCAUCAAAUCAAUUCAUUAAAGAUUAUUAUAAUGAUGAUUUGCUAAGAUAUACAUAAAGUUCAGAAGCAUCCAAGCCAAAUGAGCUCGGUUGGCACUUGUUUUAGAUGCGUAGAUCAUGAUCAAUGAUAUGAAUUUUCAAUUUAUAUGCACAUUUAUACAUUUUAGAAUGCUGGCAUUAUCAUUGUCAUUUGUUUUUCUACUUGCACGACACAUAGUAGGAAGACCUCUAAAACCUGUUUUAUGAAUUUUUAGUGCUGUAGGACAUGAUCAACAAUAUGGAUAUUUAAUUUGAAUGAUCCAUUAUUGAUUUUGGAAUGUUCACUUCAACAUCAGAUGAGACGUGAAAUGUGCAAUCAAGAUCUUAUUUAUUCUUCUUUUAUAUAUAUAUAUAUAGAGAGAGAGAGAGAGAGACACACACACACACACACACACACAUGCUUUUUUCUAUGCAUUUACCAAUUUAGGAUUGAAACUUAUUUGUUGUGGAUCAAACUAUCAACCAAAUUAUCUAAUGGCACUAUGACUAUGAACCUUAUCAAAUACAAGUGUGCAGUAGUUUAUUGGCAUCACACGAAAUUGUAGUUAGAUCAAUGUCAAAAGGCAAAUCUAAAACAUUUGUUGUGCUACUCAGAUCCCUGCUUUUUGAGUCUAUAAAUGAUCAAAGAGACCUUGUUUUUAUUGAUCCUUAGGAGGGUUGUCUGUAAUGGGACAAAAUUUCCAACUUAAUUCUUGCCAUCUAGUCAUUUCCAAUAUUAUUGUCCCAUAAAGUAGACAAGAUUUUAUUUGGGGAGUUGGGUCUUAGCUAUUUACACACUGAUUCUUGGACAAGAAAUAAGAUUGUCCAUCAGAUCAAUUAGAAACUAUGGAGUGCUUUUGAAUAUGUAGAAUUCUUUCUGCCAUAUAUUGUUUUUUUUUAAUUUUUUGGCAUAUUUUUGGUAUCAUAAUUUUUUUUCAGAAAAUCAUAUUUCUAAUGAUGUAAAAAAGAUAAGAUUACCAAAAAAAAAAAGCAUAUAUUGCACGAUUAUGUGUUUUUUUAUAUGCUUGUUGAUUGAAUUCAUUUUUAAUGUAUGAAUUAUAAUGAUCAGCAGUUGUUGAUUCCAAAUGUUUGCCUGUUUUAAAAAAUCCUUAGCAUGUUUGGGUGGUUAUCAAGGGUGUAGUGUAUUAUUAAAGUUGCGGCUUGCAUAAUUGCUUCUUUUAUGUAAGUGAUGGUAAUUGAUAAAUUACAGGAUACUUGAUUAAGCCCUAAUGUAGAUGUAGAAAUAUCUACUAUUAUAGGAAUCUUUAAUGUUGGGCAGCUAGGGGUUCUUAGAAAGUUGCCUUCAUUAAUUGAAUCCCAUUGUCUCGAUGAAAUGGUUUAUUUGUGCAGAGUUCUAUGAGAACCUCAUCUCCAAUAUCCAUGUCAACAGAUAUAUCUUGAGUUUGUUCUUUCUCCCUCCAAAUACUCUAAUAUUGCCAUUGUUCUUAUUAGUUUCCCAAGUACAAGUGUGUUCAUUGAACUUCGCUUUACUUAUUUGUUUUUAUGUAAGACAAAAUUUUUGGUCACAAACCAGGAGGAUAAUCCAUAGUUUGUCUUUUGUUGGAGAUAAGUUCAUAUAAGUGUCAUCCGAGAGACAUACAUUUUCCUCUGCUAAGGGGGAGAAAUUCUGUCCACCAGCUUUAUUUGUUAACUUCACACCUCUAUAUAUUCUACAGGUUAAGGGGUCCAGCAUGAGAGCUCCACAGAUUCUCUUCUUGUACACAUGGCAAGAUCCAUAUUAACCAAAGUGGCACAUGAUAACUAUAUGAUAUGACAAAAUUAAAAAUACUUUAAUCCUAGAGCCACUACUUAAAGCCACUUCUUGGCACAGGUACAUGUGCAUGUGAUGAAGAUAAAAAAGGAUGUUGCAGAUAAGUCAGGCUAACAGAAUACUGAACCAUCUGGGCUCCACUUGGUUAUGCUAUGUGGAUGAUCAAUCUCACCUAGAGCUUGAGAUGAUUGUAAACACAUUCUUCAAGCUUAGCUUGGCAGCCAACUACUGGGAGCUCAGAUUGCGAGAAAUUCAUUUGGCUAUACAUGCUGAAAUUGAUUUCGAGCUUGAAACUUGGCCCAAGUUCAAAACUAUAGCUCCCUGAAAACACCUGGUAAAAAUUGAAUCCAAGAGAAGGGAGAAAUACCAAAAAAAUGAAAAACAAUUAGGUCUCACAGGGCUUCCAAGAUUGACAAGGUGAGAUGAGUGCGUGAGGCUUUGCAAUGGAUCACAUGGGUGAGAGAGAUGACUAGCAAAAACAGUGAUCCUUGCUUGGAUUUCCAAUGCCAAAGCUAGAUAAGUGCACAAGUUAGGGGGGAUGACAAUCUUUGGCUUUGCUUUCUGGAGGGGGCAAUGUAUUUGAGCUGGAGGCCCAACAGCAGCAUAAGGACAAGUUUGCAAGACUCUAUUGGAAUAUGACCAGUCAUGCCUGCAAAGUUUCUUUAUUGAAAGUUUCCUUCUAGAUAUCUCUUGGGAUUUCUGCAUAUAUGAUUCAGAGGCUGAGGUAUCAAAUUGGUUAUUUGAGGAAGCAUUAUCUUAAUCCCUCGGCUUAAUGUGCUACCAUGAGAGCCAAUAAUAUCAAUAUUGCCACUCUUAAAGUGUAUCGUCUGGUGACUCAACCAAGCAUUGUCAUAAGCAAUUAUUUAGGUAUCAUAUGGUCCAUGAUAUGUGGUACGUAUCAUGCCUGUCCAGUACAGGUUCAGUCAUUGGGUGCAUGUACAAAAUUGUGCCAAUUUAUGCUUAUCCAUACUUUGCAAGUAUAUUGGCUAUGUAAGAAAACAGCCUAGCUUCUCCUCAGGGCCCCUGCCUUACUGCUUUUAAUUAUUUUUGAGUUUGGAGGAAAAGAUCUAUUUAGGAACAGAUAUAGAAUGCUUUGAAGUUGGUGCUUCCCAUUAAUGUACUUCAUCUUUAACAUUUUUUAUGUUCCUAUAAUUUUGUUAAAAG